This 2787-nucleotide ribosomal RNA is filed under the name Escherichia coli. RNAcentral's name for it is "bacterial LSU rRNA". It matches the Rfam family "Bacterial large subunit ribosomal RNA". Lineage: Bacteria; Pseudomonadati; Pseudomonadota; Gammaproteobacteria; Enterobacterales; Enterobacteriaceae. The record is from RNAcentral.
AGCGUACACGGUGGAUGCCCUGGCAGUCAGAGGCGAUGAAGGACGUGCUAAUCUGCGAUAAGCGUCGGUAAGGUGAUAUGAACCGUUAUAACCGGCGAUUUCCGAAUGGGGAAACCCAGUGUGUUUCGACACACUAUCAUUAACUGAAUCCAUAGGUUAAUGAGGCGAACCGGGGGAACUGAAACAUCUAAGUACCCCGAGGAAAAGAAAUCAACCGAGAUUCCCCCAGUAGCGGCGAGCGAACGGGGAGCAGCCCAGAGCCUGAAUCAGUGUGUGUGUUAGUGGAAGCGUCUGGAAAGGCGCGCGAUACAGGGUGACAGCCCCGUACACAAAAAUGCACAUGCUGUGAGCUCGAUGAGUAGGGCGGGACACGUGGUAUCCUGUCUGAAUAUGGGGGGACCAUCCUCCAAGGCUAAAUACUCCUGACUGACCGAUAGUGAACCAGUACCGUGAGGGAAAGGCGAAAAGAACCCCGGCGAGGGGAGUGAAAAAGAACCUGAAACCGUGUACGUACAAGCAGUGGGAGCACGCUUAGGCGUGUGACUGCGUACCUUUUGUAUAAUGGGUCAGCGACUUAUAUUCUGUAGCAAGGUUAACCGAAUAGGGGAGCCGAAGGGAAACCGAGUCUUAACUGGGCGUUAAGUUGCAGGGUAUAGACCCGAAACCCGGUGAUCUAGCCAUGGGCAGGUUGAAGGUUGGGUAACACUAACUGGAGGACCGAACCGACUAAUGUUGAAAAAUUAGCGGAUGACUUGUGGCUGGGGGUGAAAGGCCAAUCAAACCGGGAGAUAGCUGGUUCUCCCCGAAAGCUAUUUAGGUAGCGCCUCGUGAAUUCAUCUCCGGGGGUAGAGCACUGUUUCGGCAAGGGGGUCAUCCCGACUUACCAACCCGAUGCAAACUGCGAAUACCGGAGAAUGUUAUCACGGGAGACACACGGCGGGUGCUAACGUCCGUCGUGAAGAGGGAAACAACCCAGACCGCCAGCUAAGGUCCCAAAGUCAUGGUUAAGUGGGAAACGAUGUGGGAAGGCCCAGACAGCCAGGAUGUUGGCUUAGAAGCAGCCAUCAUUUAAAGAAAGCGUAAUAGCUCACUGGUCGAGUCGGCCUGCGCGGAAGAUGUAACGGGGCUAAACCAUGCACCGAAGCUGCGGCAGCGACGCUGAUGCGUUGUUGGGUAGGGGAGCGUUCUGUAAGCCUGCGAAGGUGUGCUGUGAGGCAUGCUGGAGGUAUCAGAAGUGCGAAUGCUGACAUAAGUAACGAUAAAGCGGGUGAAAAGCCCGCUCGCCGGAAGACCAAGGGUUCCUGUCCAACGUUAAUCGGGGCAGGGUGAGUCGACCCCUAAGGCGAGGCCGAAAGGCGUAGUCGAUGGGAAACAGGUUAAUAUUCCUGUACUUGGUGUUACUGCGAAGGGGGGACGGAGAAGGCUAUGUUGGCCGGGCGACGGUUGUCCCGGUUUAAGCGUGUAGGCUGGUUUUCCAGGCAAAUCCGGAAAAUCAAGGCUGAGGCGUGAUGACGAGGCACUACGGUGCUGAAGCAACAAAUGCCCUGCUUCCAGGAAAAGCCUCUAAGCAUCAGGUAACAUCAAAUCGUACCCCAAACCGACACAGGUGGUCAGGUAGAGAAUACCAAGGCGCUUGAGAGAACUCGGGUGAAGGAACUAGGCAAAAUGGUGCCGUAACUUCGGGAGAAGGCACGCUGAUAUGUAGGUGAAGUCCCUUGCGGAUGGAGCUGAAAUCAGUCGAAGAUACCAGCUGGCUGCAACUGUUUAUUAAAAACACAGCACUGUGCAAACACGAAAGUGGACGUAUACGGUGUGACGCCUGCCCGGUGCCGGAAGGUUAAUUGAUGGGGUCAGCGCAAGCGAAGCUCUUGAUCGAAGCCCCGGUAAACGGCGGCCGUAACUAUAACGGUCCUAAGGUAGCGAAAUUCCUUGUCGGGUAAGUUCCGACCUGCACGAAUGGCGUAAUGAUGGCCAGGCUGUCUCCACCCGAGACUCAGUGAAAUUGAACUCGCUGUGAAGAUGCAGUGUACCCGCGGCAAGACGGAAAGACCCCGUGAACCUUUACUAUAGCUUGACACUGAACAUUGAGCCUUGAUGUGUAGGAUAGGUGGGAGGCUUUGAAGUGUGGACGCCAGUCUGCAUGGAGCCGACCUUGAAAUACCACCCUUUAAUGUUUGAUGUUCUAACGUGGACCCGUGAUCCGGGUUGCGGACAGUGUCUGGUGGGUAGUUUGACUGGGGCGGUCUCCUCCUAAAGAGUAACGGAGGAGCACGAAGGUUGGCUAAUCCUGGUCGGACAUCAGGAGGUUAGUGCAAUGGCAUAAGCCAGCUUGACUGCGAGCGUGACGGCGCGAGCAGGUGCGAAAGCAGGUCAUAGUGAUCCGGUGGUUCUGAAUGGAAGGGCCAUCGCUCAACGGAUAAAAGGUACUCCGGGGAUAACAGGCUGAUACCGCCCAAGAGUUCAUAUCGACGGCGGUGUUUGGCACCUCGAUGUCGGCUCAUCACAUCCUGGGGCUGAAGUAGGUCCCAAGGGUAUGGCUGUUCGCCAUUUAAAGUGGUACGCGAGCUGGGUUUAGAACGUCGUGAGACAGUUCGGUCCCUAUCUGCCGUGGGCGCUGGAGAACUGAGGGGGGCUGCUCCUAGUACGAGAGGACCGGAGUGGACGCAUCACUGGUGUUCGGGUUGUCAUGCCAAUGGCACUGCCCGGUAGCUAAAUGCGGAAGAGAUAAGUGCUGAAAGCAUCUAAGCACGAAACUUGCCCCGAGAUGAGUUCUCCCUGACUCCUUGA